This 270-nucleotide ribosomal RNA is filed under the name uncultured bacterium. RNAcentral describes it as "partial 16S ribosomal RNA". It matches the Rfam family "Bacterial small subunit ribosomal RNA", at positions 28 to 290 of the family's 1533-position model. The record is from RNAcentral.
GACGAACGCUGGCGGCGUGCUUAACACAUGCAAGUCGAACGGGGUCCAUCCAGUGGCAACACCGGAGAAGACCCAGUGGCGAACGGGUGAGUAACACGUGAGGAACCUGCCCCGAAGACCGGGAUAACAGCGGGAAACCGCUGCUAAUACCGGAUACCCCCACCGAGUCACAUGGCCUGGUGAGGAAAUGGAUUCCGCUUCGGGAGGGCCUCGCGGCCUAUCAGCUUGUUGGUGAGGUGACGGCUCACCAAGGCGACGACGGGUAGCUGG